This 433-nucleotide ribosomal RNA is filed under the name uncultured bacterium. Its description in RNAcentral is "partial 16S ribosomal RNA". It matches the Rfam family "Bacterial small subunit ribosomal RNA", at positions 29 to 507 of the family's 1533-position model. The record is from RNAcentral.
AACGAACGCUGGCGGCAUGCCUAACACAUGCAAGUCGAACGAGACCUUCGGGUUUAGUGGCGCACUGGUGCGUAACGCGUUGGAACCUGCCCUUAGAUUCGGAUUAUCUCCCCGAAUGAGGUGCUAAUACCGGCUCAUGUCUUCGGACCAAAGUUUUAUCGCCUUUGGAUGGGCCCGCGUUGUAUUACCUAGUUGUUAGGGUAAAAGCCUAUAAAGGCUAGGUUGCAUAGCUGGUUAGAGAGGAAGAUAAGCCACACUGGGAUUAAGACACGGCCCAGAAUACUACAGGAUGCAGCAGUGGGUAAUAUUGCAAAAUCGCCUAAAUCCUGAACCAGCAAUGACUCUAAAGUAAUGAAAGCCUUAGGGUUGUAAAGCUCUUUUACACGUGAUUAUAAUGACAUUACCGACAGAAUAAGCACCGGCUAACUCCGUG